RNAcentral lists this long non-coding RNA (591 nucleotides) under Homo sapiens (human). RNAcentral describes it as "non-protein coding lnc-TMEM212-1:9". The record is from RNAcentral. Lineage: Eukaryota; Metazoa; Chordata; Mammalia; Primates; Hominidae.
ACAGUGCACCCAGCUGGGCGCUUCGGCAGUUUGCAGCUGCGGCGGGGUCGGGUCCACCCGCGGUCCCCGGAAUGCCGGACGGCUGAUCCCGGGUGCUGGUCACUCGCCGAUUCGGGGCUGGGAAGGUUUGCCAGAAGCGGGAAAGAUGGGAGAUCUGAGCGCUCUCUUGGCAUCGCCACACCCAGGACUUGCUCGUGCCGCAAUUCCCCACGGAAACAACCGAGUUGAAACGAGAAGCUUGCUCUCUGGGUGCAGUAGCUAGAAGGCUUCAGGUAACUCCAAAGCCAACACUGGGUGAGGCAACACACGCCGCCUCAGGACUCAGCAUUUCUUUCAGGCUGCGUUUUCGUGGCAGACCUACCCAGAUUGAUGGAGAAAGUUUGGCUGGCGGAUAAGAAGUAACGCGGAAGAUGUAUUAUUGUGGCUGUCACUCAGGUUUUCUGCUCAUUGGUAGACAAAGGGUGAGGAGGUGACUGAAAUUGGAACAGUGGAAGGACCCUUCACCAAAACCUGGAACUUCAGAAGAAUGGCAGGGCUGAAAAUGAUUAGUGUUAAUUCAUUCCAGUUGUGUUACCCUACCCCUCAGACUGC